RNAcentral lists this long non-coding RNA (1442 nucleotides) under Mus musculus (house mouse). Its description in RNAcentral is "long non-coding RNA chr18:64397044-64398486". Lineage: Eukaryota; Metazoa; Chordata; Mammalia; Rodentia; Muridae. The record is from RNAcentral.
AUGUAUUACCUUGGCAAAUACCUUCACAUCUGUUGGGAUUUCAACAUGAGUCAGAUCGAAUCAGGUUUGUAUUAUGAUGAGAAAAGUCACCCAAGUUGGAAUUAGCCCACUAGAACCCCACAACUCUGGAGCCUCAUAACCCAGAUAUAUCACUAUAGAUUUUUAAUUUCCACUAAAGGGAAUCUUAGCUUUAUGUUCAUGGUCUCAGACCUUUUGGGCCAUGUAUAUGAUACAGCUAGUUCAUCUAGGCCUCACUUUUCUGGGUUUCCCCUUGGGAAUUAGAUUCUGUUGUCAGUUCCCAGUAGACAUGUACAGAGCAUUGACAUCAGUGACCCAUCCCUGACCUAUUUGUACACUCUCCCAGAUAACCCCUCCAGUUAUCUGGACAAAAAGAUGUGGUCAUUCCCUAAACUUUCACUCAUGUGGUCUAUCAUACUUUUCUUCUUUAGGGUCUGAAAUGACUCUAGAUUGAUCCUUACAAAGCUAUAUCUAUAUUCUAAAGGGGUUUUUGGGUUUGUUUGUUUGUUUGUUUUGAAGACCAAUUCACGGAAACCAUUUUGUUUGAAUUCCCCAGUCUUUGAGAUCUUUAUCUCAAAAAAUAUUUUUCAGACCCAGUGGAUUGAAUGAACAUAAUAUUAUAAUUGGGUUCUGAGAUCCGUUCUUGAGUUUCAUACCUACUUCCUAUACCAGUAUGCUCCCCGUAAAACCCAAUCAGCUACCAGGUUCUGCAGUUCUGAGAAUGGAGAUGAGGAAUAAUGAUGGACUCAACAGUCUGCCAUGCAGAAUUCUGGAACUCACCAACAGACAGCAGAGCAUCGCACAUGUCUGUCAGUGAGGAUGCUGGAGACAUCUUUUCAUUGAUAACGAGAAGGAACGGCCUUAUAAGUAGGCUGCAGUGAUGGCAGCUUUGUAAUGUAGUCCUUUUUGUUUUCCCUUUUUAUUAAUCUGCCAAAGAUGGAAAUGGAUAUAAAAACUUUAAAAUCAGCUUUUGCAAGCCAGUUUUUUGAUUGUAAUAGUGUUUAAUCUUCCGGAAAGCUUUACAUAUUCCUCUGCAAUAAGUCAAGCCACUAUUUGUUUGCAUUAAGUUCUCCUCUUAUACUUACAAGCCCGCAAACGGUUCCUCUUGAUGAAGAUAUGGUAAUACCUACAAUGUUCUAAUGUAUUUUGGGUCCAAAACAGACAAAAGGGUGUGUGAGACAGGAGCAUGCCCAGCCCCUUUUUACAACAAGCAAGCCUGGGAUCUGGCUCACUAGAAUUUGCCAAGAAGACUUGUCUUAUGAAAUUCGAGGUAUAUUUUGUUAUGCUGUUUUAUUUCCUUUUUUUUUUUUAAAGAAAAGAAAACUGUGGAAAGUGAUAUGUUGAAUCAAGUGUAAGCUGAGUUUUCCAGACAACUGAAGUAGCUUCAUUGUGAAUGUUAUUUUGUUAUUAAAGGGUUUUUACUC